RNAcentral lists this ribosomal RNA (896 nucleotides) under Apis mellifera ligustica (common honey bee). RNAcentral's name for it is "partial large subunit ribosomal RNA". The record is from RNAcentral. Lineage: Eukaryota; Metazoa; Arthropoda; Insecta; Hymenoptera; Apidae.
GAUUAAAAUUUAUUUAAUGAUUUUAAAUAUCUCGAAAAUAAGGGAGCUAAAUUUAUAUUAUUUUUUUUGUAGCAAUAAAAUUAUAAAUAUAGAUUUAGAAAUUAAAUGUUAAACGAACUUAUUAAUAUCUAGUUUUUUUAGAAAUAAAUUUAAUUUAGAUAUAAUUAUUUUAGUAAAUUAAAUUUUAUUUUAAUUUAUUAAUUUUUAUAUUAAAAAUUUAUGGGAUAAUCUAUAAAUUUAAGAUAAAAAUUUAAUUUUAAUUUUUAAUGUUAUAGAGAUAAUAUUUUUCUUUAAUUUUAAUAAUUUAAUAAUUUAAUAUUUAUAAAUUAAUAAUGAUUUAAAUUUAUAUUUUAUUUUUCUAUAAAAAUUUAUAUUUUAAUUAAUAAAAUAUAGAAAUAAUGAUUAGAUUAGUAAUAAAGUUAUAUUUUAUAAUGAUAUUUUGUAUUAUAUAAUUUAAAGGAAUUCGGCAAAUAUAUUAUUCACCUGUUUAUCAAAAACAUGUCCUGUUGAUUAUAAUUUUAGGUCGAUCUGCUCAAUGAAUUAUUUUAAAUAGCUGCAGUAUGUUGACUGUACAAAGGUAGCAUAAUAAAUUGUCUUUUAAUUGAAGAAUUGUAUGAAAGAAUUAAUGAAAUAAUAACUGUCUCUAAAUUAUUAAAUGAAUUUAAAUUUUUAGUUAAAAUUCUAAAAUUUAAUUAUGGGACGAUAAGACCCUAUAGAAUUUAAUUUAAUUUUUAAAUUUAUUUAUAAUUUUAAUAAAUAUAUUUAAGAUUAAAUUUGAUUGGGAGGAUUGGUAAAUUUAAUAAACUUUAUUUAAGAUUUAAUUUUGAUAUAAAGAUAAUUUUUUGAAUUAUAAAUUGUAAUUAAAAGAAUAAAUUACCUUAGGGAUAACAGCGUAA